AAUUUUGUUGGGGACGGCUAUCACACGGUCAUGACGCACCGCUCCAUGUGCGAGUUGGGGUUGUUACCGCCCGAUAAUGUGGCCGUUUCGCCGGCGCACGUCAGCCUAUCGGGGGGGCACGGGGCGGGCGUUUUAGGCGCACCCCCCGGCAUACCCGCACCACCGUAUAUGGGCUAUCCCGAGGAAAUCGUCUCCGGUCUCAGCGAAGGUUACGGCGAUGACGUCCAUGGCGAGAUGCUGAAACGGACAAUG
Molecule: ribosomal RNA, 252 nt
Filed under: uncultured bacterium
Lineage: Bacteria
Description: partial 16S ribosomal RNA
Source: RNAcentral